This 464-nucleotide ribosomal RNA is filed under the name uncultured bacterium. RNAcentral describes it as "partial 16S ribosomal RNA". It matches the Rfam family "Bacterial small subunit ribosomal RNA", at positions 28 to 506 of the family's 1533-position model. The record is from RNAcentral.
GAUGAACGCUGGCGGCGUGCUUAACACAUGCAAGUCGAACGGAAAGGCUCCUGCUUGCAGGGGUACUCGAGUGGCGAACGGGUGAGUAACACGUGGGUGAUCUGCCCUGCACUUCGGGAUAAGCCUGGGAAACUGGGUCUAAUACCGGAUAGGACGAUGGUUUGGAUGCCAUUGUGGAAAGUUUUUCGGUGUGGGAUGAGCUCGCGGCCUAUCAGCUUGUUGGUGGGGUAAUGGCCUACCAAGGCGUCGACGGGUAGCCGGCCUGAGAGGGUGUACGGCCAAAUGGGGACGGAGAACGGGCCAAGCCCCCACGGGGGGGAAGAGGGGGGGAUAUUGGCACAAGGGGGGAAGGCCGGAGGCACCGCCGCCGGGUGGGGGAGGACGGCCUCGGGGUUGUAAACUCCUUUCGCUGGGGAGGAAGCGCAAGGGACGGUCCCGGGGAAAGAAGCCCCGGUUAAUUACGG